GGAGGAAAAAGAAACCCGACAGGGGAUUGCCCUCAGUAACGGGCGAGUGAAGCGGCAACAGCUCAAAAUUUGAAAUCUGGCCCUAGGCCCGAGUUGUAAUUUGCAGAGGAUGCUUUUGGUGCGGUGCCUUCCAAGUUCCCUAGAACGGGACGCCAGAGAGGGUGAGAGCCCCGUACAGUUGGACACCAAGCCUUUGUAAAGCUCCUUCGACGAGUCGAGUAGUUUGGGAAUGCUGCUCAAAAUGGGAGGUAUAUUUCUUCUAAAGCUAAAUACCGGCCAGAGACCGAUAGCGCACAAGUAGAGUGAUCGAAAGAUGAAAAGCACUUUGAAAAGAGGGUUAAACAGCACGUGAAAUUGUUAAAAGGGAAGCGCUUGUGACCAGACUUGCGUCCGGUGAAUCACCCAGCUCUCGCGGCUGGGGCACUUCGCCGGCUCAGGCCAGCAUCAGCUCGCUGUCGGGGACAAAAGCUUCAGGAACGUAGCUCUCUUCGGGGAGUGUUAUAGCCUGUUGCAUAAUACCCUUCGGCGGGCUGAGGUACGCGCUCCGCAAGGAUGCUGGCAUAAUGGUCAUCAGCGACCCGUCU
RNAcentral lists this ribosomal RNA (584 nucleotides) under Colletotrichum sp. RNAcentral describes it as "eukaryotic LSU rRNA". It matches the Rfam family "Eukaryotic large subunit ribosomal RNA", at positions 52 to 654 of the family's 3401-position model. Lineage: Eukaryota; Fungi; Ascomycota; Sordariomycetes; Glomerellales; Glomerellaceae. The record is from RNAcentral.